CCUACGGGGGGCAGCAGUGGGGAAUAUUGGACAAUGGGGGGAACCCUGAUCCAGCCAUGCCGCGUGUGUGAAGAAGGCCCUCGGGUUGUAAAGCACUUUCAGUGAGGAAGAACGCCUGGUGGUUAAUACCCAUCAGGAAAGACAUCACUCACAGAAGAAGCACCGGCUAACUCCGUGCCAGCAGCCGCGGUAAUACGGAGGGUGCGAGCGUUAAUCGGAAUUACUGGGCGUAAAGCGCGCGUAGGUGGCUUGAUAAGCCGGUUGUGAAAGCCACGGGCUCAACCUGGGAACGGCAUCCGGAACUGUCAAGCUAGAGUGCAGGAGAGGAAGGUAGAAUUCCCGGUGUAGCGGUGAAAUGCGUAGAGAUCGGGAGGAAUACCAGUGGCGAAGGCGGCCUUCUGGACUGACACUGACACUGAGGUGCGAAAGCGUGGGUAGCAAACAGGAUUAGAUACCCCAGUAGUC
This 465-nucleotide ribosomal RNA is filed under the name Vreelandella stevensii. RNAcentral's name for it is "partial 16S ribosomal RNA". It matches the Rfam family "Bacterial small subunit ribosomal RNA", at positions 338 to 795 of the family's 1533-position model. The record is from RNAcentral. Lineage: Bacteria; Pseudomonadati; Pseudomonadota; Gammaproteobacteria; Oceanospirillales; Halomonadaceae.